AUGGCGAAGAUUUCUAGUAGCACCGUCGUUCUCCUGGUGUUUCUCGUCUCGUCGUGGGGGGCAUUGCCGGUGUUGUCCCGUGGAGGGAUGGAGGAUGGAGGAGGCGGUAUCGGUGCUAAUAUUGGGCUUCAAAAGUCUAUCGGUGCUAAUGUUGGUGUUGGUGCGAAUGGAGGCGCCGGUGCUGGUGCUGGUGCUGGCAUUGGAGCAAAUGUAGGUGUUGGAGCAAAUAUAGGUGCCAAUGCUGGUCUUGGUGCCGGUGCAAAUGGAAACGGUGGUGCUGGUCUUGGUGUCGGUGCACAUAAAUCUAUUGGUGCUAAUGUUGGUGUUGGUGCGAAUGGAGGCGCUGGUGCUGGUGCCGGUGCUGGUGUUGGUGCUGGCCUUGGAGCAAAUGUAGGUAUUGGAGCAAAUGUAGNNNNNNNNNNNNNNNNNNNNNCUGGUGCUGGUGGUGGUGCUGGUGCUGGUGCGAAUGGAGGCGCUAACAUUGGAGCUGGCAUUGGAGCAAAUGUAGGUGCCAAUGCCGGUCUUGGUGCCGGUGCCGGUGCACAUAAAGGUAUUGGUGCUGGUGUUGGUGCUGGCCUUGGAGCAAAUGUAGGUAUUGGAGCAAACGUAGGUGCCAAUGCUGGUCUUGGUGGCGGUGCCGGUGCAAACGGUGGUGCUAGUGCUGGUGUUGGCCUUGGAGCAAAUGUAGGCAUUGGAGCAAAUGUAGGUGCCAAUGCCGGUCUUGGUGUCGGUGCACAUAAAGGUAUUGGUGCUGGUGUUGGCAAAUGA
RNAcentral lists this ribosomal RNA (768 nucleotides) under Triticum aestivum (bread wheat). Its description in RNAcentral is "partial small subunit ribosomal RNA". The record is from RNAcentral. Lineage: Eukaryota; Viridiplantae; Streptophyta; Magnoliopsida; Poales; Poaceae.